GAUGAACGCUGGCGGCGUGCCUAAUACAUGCAAGUCGAGCGAACAGAUGAGGAGCUUGCUCCUCUGACGUUAGCGGCGGACGGGUGAGUAACACGUGGAUAACCUACCUAUAAGACUGGGAUAACUUCGGGAAACCGGAGCUAAUACCGGAUAAUAUAUUGAACCGCAUGGUUCAAUAGUGAAAGACGGUUUUGCUGUCACUUAUAGAUGGAUCCGCGCCGCAUUAGCUAGUUGGUAAGGUAACGGCUUACCAAGGCAACGAUGCGUAGACGACCUGAGAGGGGGAUCGGCCACCCUGGAACUGAGACACGGUCCAGACUCCUACGGGAGGCAGCAGUAGGGAAUCUUCCGCAAUGGGCGAAAGCCCGACGGAGCAACGCCGCGUGAGUGAUGAAGGUCUUCGGAUCGUAAAACUCUGUUAUUAGGGAAGAACAAAUGUGUAAGUAACUAUGCACGUCUUGACGGUACCUAAUCAGAAAGCCACGGCUAACUACGUG
Molecule: ribosomal RNA, 497 nt
Filed under: uncultured bacterium
Lineage: Bacteria
Description: partial 16S ribosomal RNA
Rfam family: Bacterial small subunit ribosomal RNA
Source: RNAcentral